AGUGGAGGAACCUGCUGAGUGAGUAAGCCAGCCCAGUUAAUCUCCCAUGUGCCCCGGUGUGAUUGGGGCCAAGGCCAACCGCACGCUGAGGGCACAGUGGCUGAGUUCUGGAGUGUGGAUGGUUGUGGGCCGAAGACUGGAGGCUCCUAUCUCCCAGACACAGAGGGGGAUGUUGGGUUCUUUAUCAAGGAGCCCCUGAGAGGAUGAUAAAUCGCCACAGCCUGGGCCCAUCUCCGCUGGAACAACAAGCAGAGCCUUGUGACAGAUAACAAGCCUCUGUCAGCUUGAUUCUUUGUUUAUUGAGAGGCAGAGCAGUAGAUGAGGAUCAGCACCAGGGCCUAAUGGGGAAAUAGCCCCCGCUAUGCUCGUGGUGGCUAGUGGUACUGCCCGAUUGCCUCUGAGCCUGGCUUUUUGACCUCCUAUCAACAACCCUUCCUCACAUCACAAACAGCCCUCCACCCACAUACAUGGCCUCUGUAUUCCUUUUUCUCAAACCAUAACACUCGGUCCAACCCCUGGCCUUGUGUUGCUCCUCCCAUACCCGCUCCGCCUCUGCGUGGCAGCUCCCUGGAGCCCACCAACCCCAUGCCCCCUUUUCAAGACCAUCAUACUGUAAAGCCUGAAGCACUUACAGAUAAAGAGACCCCAGAAAUCAAGCAGGGCCAGCAGCAGAGCAGAUUGAGAGUCAGAGCUCAGCACCCGAGAGGCGCCCACAGGGUACGUAUGCUGCAGAUAGUAGCAUCGGAUAGUUAGACAGGAGAGCAAGAAAACAUGAAACUUCCUGCCCUCUUUCCUGGACUUCUCUGGUUGGACAAUGCUUCCGCGUCACACAUCAACCAUCAAGCCCCUCCACCCCCAUGUCUGCUCUCUCACUCUGACUCCCCCGUUCCCCCUUUCAGAUAAAGAGAAGGCCUCGUUCCCUGCCGACUCAAACUGACAGCUUGAGCCAAAGGGCUCCACAAGCUUUUUUGGAAGGUCUUGUUUGUUUUCAUCCAUCUGUGAGUAUGUGGCCGCUGGGGAAUAGGAAUGUGACAUGUUCUAUUAAAACAAAUUUUUUUUAAAAAGUGGAGAAAAAAAAAAGAUUGCACCGAGAUCAAUGUCUUUUGAAGUUAAGCUUUGUUCAGUGCUUUAACUGCAGUCCUUUGAGGCAGAUUAACGAUGACAAACCAUUUAUAGUUGUUUUGUUUGUCUGGAUGAUUGCUUCCAAGCGGCAAUAAGAACUGCCAUAUGCCACUCAUCAGCUAAAAGUAGCACACUUUAAAGAAUGUUCCUCUUAUGAGUUCCCCUUUAAGCAAAGGACAUAAAGGACGACCGCUGUCUGUAUUACCCAGAGACUAGACAUCUCACUGAAACAAUGGGAGGAGAAAAGCACAAAUUUAUGGUUCGAAAAUGCACUGGGGCAAGGCAACAGAUGCUUUCAAGGGAUAAAAAUAGUCCUGCUCUGACAAUUUGUGAGAUAGCGUAUGUUUGAAAGGAUUGAGCUGACGGUUAGCAAAGCAUCACUAACUAUUCCUCUUGGGCAUUUACCUUGAAUAACACUCUGCAUGUCCUGUGACACAAAAUUUUAUCUGAAUUUCUCUUAAUACACAUUUAUGACACAUGUUUUACUGCUAAGAACCUCAAAUUGUACGUGUACAUGCAUUUCUCUAGAGGUAAGAAAUUGUAUUUAUUGCAUAUGAGGGUCUUUAAAAGGCUUUUAGGUAUAUUGUUAAAUAUGUGAGCAAGAGGAUCCUCCAUUGACAGUCACUAGAGGAAGACAUAAAACUGCAGCUCCGGCGAACAGUGCUGAUCGAUGCCAAUAAAACGAGGCUCUUCUCGCCAAGGUAGCACAGGACACCUUCCCGCAAUUUAAUCAGUCAGUCAGCCAGAAUUAAUGUUCCUAAUAUCAUGAUUUCUCCAUUACUCUAUUUAACAUAAUUAAAAUGUCGAGCGCCGGGGCCAUAAAGCGGGUCGUUGGAGAUUGUAAUUCUGCCGUAAAGCUAUGAAGCAUGAAAAUGUCACUUACCGAGUAGCCGCGGCCUGACAGCGAGUGAGUGGAACUCUGUAGGGAGAGAGAGGAGAACAGGGAUGACCUUUAAGGAGCGUUUCACUCGCUGACACAGACAUGAUGAAGCAGCGCCGCUUUAAUAUCAAUAUUCACGUUAACCUUUUACCUGCCCUGCCAUGUACCCCACUCCCACACACAUCACUCCCAUACAUCUUGGCCUGAGCUACAUCUGCUCUGAAAACAAUCACUUGUGUCCUGCCGAGAGAUAUAAUUUCAUUUUGUUAUAAAUACAUUCAGAAUUUCAUAUAAUAUCUAAUCAAAUUAAACUGGUACACAAUAACCUUUUUACAGCCACAAAAACUCUGAAUUGCCAAUAAAGUGAUAAUCACCCCAAUUAUUUUUCAAUUUUUGUCUUCUGUAGUUUGGGAGCCAACCGUAUCUCUUUUGGCUCUGAUGAUUUCAUAUUUCAUAUAAUGUGUAUCAGUGGAUGACAGUAUCAGGUGUCACCACUUACAGUAUUUGUUUGGAUUCACUUGCCUAGACUGUGCCUUUGCAUGUGACAUCUCACAUUGACAGGUAAUGAAUCCAUCCUUACUUCAGCACAUCAAUUGAUAAAACACACGUUGAUGAAGAAAUUGUUGUUUUGAGAGUGACAGUUGAAGCGGAGACAGAGCUCUCAAAUUUCCUGAUACCUUCAGAUGUUUGGCUUCUCUUCCAGCUCGUCUUGCAAUUUUCCAACUAUUUACUAUGUGUUCAAAACGCAUAGUAUUGAAUAAGAACAGAAGCAACAGGCAUUUCAGUGUGACUGGUAAAUCGCUAAUCAUAGAAC
Sphaeramia orbicularis (orbiculate cardinalfish) is the source of this 2816-nucleotide long non-coding RNA. RefSeq lists it as uncharacterized. The record is from RefSeq and is a predicted model, not a curated record. The transcript has 3 exons. NCBI's taxonomy places the organism in Eukaryota, Metazoa, Chordata, Actinopteri, Kurtiformes, Apogonidae.